Molecule: ribosomal RNA, 117 nt
Filed under: Danio rerio (zebrafish)
Lineage: Eukaryota; Metazoa; Chordata; Actinopteri; Cypriniformes; Danionidae
Source: RNAcentral
GGCCACAGCCAUAUCACCCUGCAGCCCAAGACCAGUUACUCACUGAAGCUAAGCAGGGUUGAGCCUGGUUAGUACCUGGAUGGGAGACCACUAGGGAACACUAGGUUGCUGUUGGAA